This 1383-nucleotide ribosomal RNA is filed under the name Salmonella enterica subsp. enterica serovar Newport str. SHSN005. Its description in RNAcentral is "bacterial LSU rRNA". It matches the Rfam family "Bacterial large subunit ribosomal RNA", at positions 1568 to 2925 of the family's 2925-position model. The record is from RNAcentral. RNAcentral also lists the same sequence under 1 other name. Lineage: Bacteria; Pseudomonadati; Pseudomonadota; Gammaproteobacteria; Enterobacterales; Enterobacteriaceae.
GACGAGGCACUACGGUGCUGAAGCAACAAAUGCCCUGCUUCCAGGAAAAGCCUCUAAGCAUCAGGUAACAUCAAAUCGUACCCCAAACCGACACAGGUGGUCAGGUAGAGAAUACCAAGGCGCUUGAGAGAACUCGGGUGAAGGAACUAGGCAAAAUGGUGCCGUAACUUCGGGAGAAGGCACGCUGACACGUAGGUGAAGUGAUUUACUCAUGGAGCUGAAGUCAGUCGAAGAUACCAGCUGGCUGCAACUGUUUAUUAAAAACACAGCACUGUGCAAACACGAAAGUGGACGUAUACGGUGUGACGCCUGCCCGGUGCCGGAAGGUUAAUUGAUGGGGUCAGCGCAAGCGAAGCUCCUGAUCGAAGCCCCGGUAAACGGCGGCCGUAACUAUAACGGUCCUAAGGUAGCGAAAUUCCUUGUCGGGUAAGUUCCGACCUGCACGAAUGGCGUAAUGAUGGCCAGGCUGUCUCCACCCGAGACUCAGUGAAAUUGAACUCGCUGUGAAGAUGCAGUGUACCCGCGGCAAGACGGAAAGACCCCGUGAACCUUUACUAUAGCUUGACACUGAACAUUGAGCCUUGAUGUGUAGGAUAGGUGGGAGGCUUUGAAGUGUGGACGCCAGUCUGCAUGGAGCCGACCUUGAAAUACCACCCUUUAAUGUUUGAUGUUCUAACGUGGACCCGUAAUCCGGGUUGCGGACAGUGUCUGGUGGGUAGUUUGACUGGGGCGGUCUCCUCCUAAAGAGUAACGGAGGAGCACGAAGGUUGGCUAAUCCUGGUCGGACAUCAGGAGGUUAGUGCAAUGGCAUAAGCCAGCUUGACUGCGAGCGUGACGGCGCGAGCAGGUGCGAAAGCAGGUCAUAGUGAUCCGGUGGUUCUGAAUGGAAGGGCCAUCGCUCAACGGAUAAAAGGUACUCCGGGGAUAACAGGCUGAUACCGCCCAAGAGUUCAUAUCGACGGCGGUGUUUGGCACCUCGAUGUCGGCUCAUCACAUCCUGGGGCUGAAGUAGGUCCCAAGGGUAUGGCUGUUCGCCAUUUAAAGUGGUACGCGAGCUGGGUUUAGAACGUCGUGAGACAGUUCGGUCCCUAUCUGCCGUGGGCGCUGGAGAACUGAGGGGGGCUGCUCCUAGUACGAGAGGACCGGAGUGGACGCAUCACUGGUGUUCGGGUUGUCAUGCCAAUGGCACUGCCCGGUAGCUAAAUGCGGAAGAGAUAAGUGCUGAAAGCAUCUAAGCACGAAACUUGCCCCGAGAUGAGUUCUCCCUGAGACUUAGAGUCUCCUGAAGGAACGUUGAAGACGACGACGUUGAUAGGCCGGGUGUGUAAGCGCAGCGAUGCGUUGAGCUAACCGGUACUAAUGAACCGUGAGGCUUAACCUUAC